Molecule: long non-coding RNA, 483 nt
Filed under: Citrus sinensis (sweet orange)
Lineage: Eukaryota; Viridiplantae; Streptophyta; Magnoliopsida; Sapindales; Rutaceae
Description: long non-coding RNA (CSIN_LNC005378)
Source: RNAcentral
AUAAAGCAAAGAAGAAAGACCAGACAGAUAAAUAAAUAAACAACUGAGAAAUUUCUGGAGCAAUUACAUGAACAGGACCACAAUACAAAGAAAAUAAACAGGUUUAAUUAAUUAAUAGACUGAAGCAAGUAUGAAACAAAACAACAGAACAGAACAAGAUAAAGAGAAGAAACCAAUGUGAAGAAGACCAAAGAGGGUACCGCAAUGAACUGAAAGUUGAACCUCCGCUUUGGCUUCAAGAGAGGGGAGAAUUAUUUCCAAGGAACAGUAAAGUAGACACAGGACUUACGUUAACAAAGGAAUAGCAUGUUGAAUGGGACAAAAGCAGGAGCAGCCGCUAGGUCGUGCUUGUGGUGUGUUGAAAUGAAAACAUUAUAUUACAUUUGACUUUUGAAGGUCACCACCAAGACAGGCUGUCUUAAUGAACGAGGAUUUGGCCACAUCUGACCAAAGGGUGUGAGGUAUGAACACAAAGCCUAGAUU